This 220-nucleotide unclassified non-coding RNA is filed under the name Hevea brasiliensis (rubber tree). Lineage: Eukaryota; Viridiplantae; Streptophyta; Magnoliopsida; Malpighiales; Euphorbiaceae. The record is from RNAcentral.
GCCUGGCUUUCGUAUUCGUUGUUCUCGGCGGGCUGUGGGGCCUCCGCGCCGCGGCCGUUAGUCAUGUCGGAUUCUGGAAGUUACGGUCAGUCUGGGGGUGAGCAGCAAAGUUAUUCUACCUAUGGAAAUCCAGGCAGCCAAGGCUAUGGACAAGCAUCACAAAGCUAUUCUGGCUAUGGGCAAACGACUGAUUCCUCUUAUGGACAGAACUACAGCGGUU